CAAUAGCGUAUAUUAAAGUUGUUGCGGUAAAAAAGCUCGUAGUUGGAUUUCUGUUGAGAGCGACCGGUCCAUACCAUGUAUGCGUAUCUGGCUUGCUCUCGGCAUCCUCUCGAUAGACGUUACUGCGCUUGAUUGCGUGGUGCGGAUCUCGGGACUUUUACUUUGAGGAAAUUAGAGUGUUCACGGCAGGCUUUCGCCAGAAUACAUUAGCAUGGAAUAAUACUAUAGGAUCUUGGUUCUAUUUUGUUGGUUUCUAGAAUUGAGAUAAUGAUUAAUAGGGACAAUUGGGGGCAUUCGUAUCAACACGUCAGAGGUGGAAUUCUUGGAUUGUGUUGCGACGAACUACUGCGAAAGCAUUUGCCAAGGAUGUUUUCGUUGA
This 379-nucleotide ribosomal RNA is filed under the name uncultured eukaryote. RNAcentral's name for it is "partial 18S ribosomal RNA". It matches the Rfam family "Eukaryotic small subunit ribosomal RNA", at positions 592 to 976 of the family's 1831-position model. The record is from RNAcentral.